Non-coding RNA from Neolamprologus brichardi, 180 nucleotides. NCBI's taxonomy places the organism in Eukaryota, Metazoa, Chordata, Actinopteri, Cichliformes, Cichlidae. The record is from RefSeq and is a predicted model, not a curated record.
UUUGAACCUCCACAGUACCUCAAGGUUCACAUCCUCCACCCUCCAUAUGUGCCUGUGAAACACCGCAGCCUCUUGAUGGAGUACGUCUCACUGGCUAAGACCAGACUGGCUGACCUCAAGGAGUCAGUGGAGGACAUGGGUUUAUAUGAGGAUGUUUCGGCUGCAGGUACAUCGGUGCAG